GCAUUGGUGGUUCAGUGGGAGAAUUCUCACCUUCCAUGCAGGAAAAAACCCGGGUUCAAUUCCCAGCCAAUGCA
Molecule: transfer RNA, 74 nt
Filed under: Loxodonta africana (African savanna elephant)
Lineage: Eukaryota; Metazoa; Chordata; Mammalia; Proboscidea; Elephantidae
Rfam family: tRNA
About the family: Transfer RNA (tRNA) molecules are approximately 80 nucleotides in length. Their secondary structure includes four short double-helical elements and three loops (D, anti-codon, and T loops).
Source: Rfam by way of RNAcentral